CCGACCUCGGAUCAGGCGUGAUUACCCGCUGAACUUAAGCAUAUCACUAAGCGGAGGAAAAGAA
RNAcentral lists this ribosomal RNA (64 nucleotides) under Phyllodistomum macrocotyle. Its description in RNAcentral is "partial 28S ribosomal RNA". It matches the Rfam family "Eukaryotic large subunit ribosomal RNA", at positions 1 to 63 of the family's 3401-position model. Lineage: Eukaryota; Metazoa; Platyhelminthes; Trematoda; Plagiorchiida; Gorgoderidae. The record is from RNAcentral.